Molecule: long non-coding RNA, 252 nt
Filed under: Elaeis guineensis (African oil palm)
Lineage: Eukaryota; Viridiplantae; Streptophyta; Magnoliopsida; Arecales; Arecaceae
Description: long non-coding RNA (EGUI_LNC025497)
Source: RNAcentral
AACAGUUUAAAUGGACAACCAAGUUCGAAUCUAUUUAUUAUAGGUCAAACACAGACCAGAUUGAUGUAUUGGACCACAUUUUAUCAGCCUUGCUUUAAUCCCAAGGCCGGCUACAUAAAUUUAUUUAAGUACCCGCAUAUGGCCCAACAUUAUUCUUCGCAAGACGGCCCAACCCACGUAUCCACUCUAGAUCGACCAAUCAAAAAUUGACACGAAUUCCUUGAAACAUGACGUCUCGUUUUUUAAAAGAAC